Molecule: ribosomal RNA, 422 nt
Filed under: uncultured bacterium
Lineage: Bacteria
Description: bacterial SSU rRNA
Rfam family: Bacterial small subunit ribosomal RNA
Source: RNAcentral
ACUCCUACGGGAGGCAGCAGUGGGGAAUAUUGGACAAUGGGCGAAAGCCUGAUCCAGCAAUGCCGCGUGAGUGAUGAAGGCCUUAGGGUUGUAAAGCUCUUUUACCCGGGAUGAUAAUGACAGUACCGGGAGAAUAAGCUCCGGCUAACUCCGUGCCAGCAGCCGCGGUAAUACGGAGGGAGCUAGCGUUGUUCGGAAUUACUGGGCGUAAAGCGCACGUAGGCGGCUUUGUAAGUCAGAGGUGAAAGCCUGGAGCUCAACUCCAGAACUGCCUUUGAGACUGCAUCGCUUGAAUCCAGGAGAGGUGAGUGGAAUUCCGAGUGUAGAGGUGAAAUUCGUAGAUAUUCGGAAGAACACCAGUGGCGAAGGCGGCUCACUGGACUGGUAUUGACGCUGAGGUGCGAAAGCGUGGGGAGCAAACA